Molecule: long non-coding RNA, 1467 nt
Organism: Brienomyrus brachyistius
Lineage: Eukaryota; Metazoa; Chordata; Actinopteri; Osteoglossiformes; Mormyridae
Exons: 2
Source: RefSeq, a predicted model, not a curated record
UGUUCUUCACCCAAACAGCACUUUUUCACAUUAAGAUGGGUUAUAAAUGUGGUGAGUCUGCUUUUCUGCAGGGAAGCAGCUCAGUCGUUGUUAGUCAGAAAAGGAGACUUUGAUAAUAACAUCCAGCACUAAUGAGCCAUCAGUCAGGUCAGAGUCCAGUCUCGAGGAUGACACCGUCACAUCAAUAUGGUACCGGGACAGCGUGUGGCGGUCUGUCAAACUCCACUGCACAGCCCCAGGCAGGCGGCUCGCAGCAUUUUGCUCAGAAAACUGGGACUGUCAUUAUGCGGGGAAGUAAACAACCUUUUUAAACAUUCUAACCUCGGAAAAAAAGACGCAGUACAAAACCAUUUCCUAUAAAUCUGUAUAACUGACUCUCCCUUAAGUUUCACACGAUAGCGAAUACAACACUAACGGAAUACAAACGGCACAGUAUAUUAAUGGGAUUUCAGACACUAAGAUGAUUGAGGGGCGACUGGCAGACAGCAUCAUGAUCAUCACUAACGUGCUCCUCCGGUGUCUCUUCACACAGCCCGUCUGACAGCGUUCAGGCGCUCAGGGGAGUUCUCCUAUAACAGCACAACAUAAAUCUGUUUGGAAACACCGACGACCCCAGGCGGGAUCGGGACGCAAUUUUACGGCGCAAGCAUCUAUAAAUCUGCACCGAUGACGUUGCCGGAGAUCCGUCUGGGCGACCGACAAUCUACCGCGAUCACGGCAGUGAUACCAUAGCCAGAACGUUUGAUCCAAUUAGCGUAGCCUAGCGAUUAACUUAAUUACCAAAGACACUGGAGGACUGCGGAAGCACGAAGACUUUAACGCGAUAAAGAGGAAAGCGCCAGAGCUUAUUAGGGGACUUCCCUGGUGUAAAUAAUGGGAACUGUCAACGCACCUGCGACAAACUCAAUCUUUAAAGAGAACUGCAAAUUAAACUAAAUUUCCUGACACCACUUACGAAAAAAUAAACAAUAUAUUAUAAGGGGUAGACUGACGUUACAAGGGUUGUUACUUUGUUGUCCCAUGCUGAAAAAGGCAGCAUCUAAAUUCAGACUGAGCGCAACUAUAAGUCACGUCGCAGGCAGCCCUGUACGAUCUGUUAAUAUCGGCUAUACAAACUAAAAUAUAUUAUCAAAAAUGGGAUAACGUCUCCUCCGCUCUUCUUAAUCACUCACCCUGAAAGCAGACUCGGUCCCGGAACAAUGCGCUGUUCAGCAGGAAUGGGUGCCGUCAAUUACGCAGCUGUAUUUUCUCGCUCAAGCAAUUCCUCCAGCAUCGCAAUUUUCUCUUUUUCCACAGUAGUUGCACAGUCGCAGCACUCGCAAUUCACGAAACAUGUAACGUCGGUUUUAAAGCAUAUUUCAAAAAAGCAAGAUCGUAGUAAAAGAAGCAGGAAAAGCAGAUUCGUAGUUAGUGUAAACAGCAGGCUUGGGCUGACGAACGCCGUCGUUAAAUCGCCAUCCCCCCCCC